AAGUUUGAUGGCGACCGGCGCACGGGUGAGUAACACGUAUCCAACCUGCCGAUAACUCCGGAAUAGCCUUUCGAAAGAAAGAUUAAUACCCGAUGGCAUAGUUCUUCCGCAUGGUGGAACUAUUAAAGAAUUUCGGUCAUCGAUGGGGAUGCGUUCCAUUAGGUUGUUGGCGGGGUAACGGCCCACCAAGCCUUCGAUGGAUAGGGGUUCUGAGAGGAAGGUCCCCCCACAUUGGAACUGAGACACGGUCCAAACUCCUACGGGAGGCAGCAUG
RNAcentral lists this ribosomal RNA (274 nucleotides) under uncultured bacterium. RNAcentral describes it as "partial 16S ribosomal RNA". It matches the Rfam family "Bacterial small subunit ribosomal RNA", at positions 81 to 353 of the family's 1533-position model. The record is from RNAcentral.